RNAcentral lists this long non-coding RNA (718 nucleotides) under Chelonoidis abingdonii (Abingdon island giant tortoise). RNAcentral describes it as "lncRNA (ENSCABG00000018230.1)". Lineage: Eukaryota; Metazoa; Chordata; Testudines; Testudinidae. The record is from RNAcentral.
UGAAUUACAGUGGCUUCCUUAAGACUUUUGUCCCCUUUUAUCUAGAUCUGCAGGUUCAGACCUUGGUACCAGCCUUUCCGUGCAACUUGACACUCCUUCCCUGCUUUCUCAGCCUUCAUUUAUUCUUUCAACCAACCCCUGCAUCACCAGCACCGGCACCAGCUAUAGCAUGGUACCAUCUCCACCUUCUUACCACAAGUCCUUGAUCCCUGUUCACCCCAGCGCCAUCAGCUCCACAACCAGUGUCGUGUCUGCCAGAGAAGACCAAACACCCUCUACCUCCACCAGUCACCCUUCGGCGUUCGCUGCCCUCCAUGUGAGAAAUGCGCCUGUUCCCUCAAAACAGAGCACCCAAAGACUUGUUAUUUCUGAGGCAUCCAACAGUGUGGCUUCUGGAGGGUCAGUGGGACGGUACAGCAAUAGUGGGACUUCAGGAAGCAAUAUUGGUCUUGCUCUCUUUGGCGUGGGGCUUGGUAGCAAAGCAUUGUUUCAAAGUUUAAUGGAAGAAAAUGGCUGCUGUUUGCUUUACAUUGUGGAGGAUCAGUUGCCAGAUGUGGAACGUGCCUUCAAUACAGAAUUCCUGGCCAACACCAGGGUGCUACGGCAACAGGAUGCGGACAUAGUGCUCAAUGAUCAACGUGUCUCUGGAGCCAUUGUCUGUUCACCACCUGAAGCAGCCUCUGAAAUUGUGAUAGAUGCUUUACGAGCAGGUAACUGA